GACGAACGCUGGCGGCGUGCUUAACACAUGCAAGUCGAACGAAGAGCGAUGGAAGCUUGCUUCUAUCAAUCUUAGUGGCGAACGGGUGAGUAACGCGUAAUCAACCUGCCCUUCAGAGGGGGACAACAGUUGGAAACGACUGCUAAUACCGCAUACGAUCUAAUCUCGGCAUCGAGGAAAGAUGAAAGGUGGCCUCUAUUUAUAAGCUAUCACUGAAGAAGGGGAUUGCGUCUGAUUAGCUAGUUGGAGGGGUAACGGCCCACCAAGGCGAUGAUCAGUAGCCGGUCUGAGAGGAUGAACGGCCACAUUGGGACUGAGACACGGCCCAGACUCCUACGGGAGGCAGCAGUGGGGAAUCUUCCGCAAUGGACGAAAGUCUGACGGAGCAACGCCGCGUGAGUGAUGACGGCCUUCGGGUUGUAAAGCUCUGUUAAUCGGGACGAAAGGCCUUCUUGCGAACAGUUAGAAGGAUUGACGGUACCGGAAUAGAAAGCCACGGCUAACUACGUG
This 510-nucleotide ribosomal RNA is filed under the name uncultured bacterium. RNAcentral describes it as "partial 16S ribosomal RNA". It matches the Rfam family "Bacterial small subunit ribosomal RNA", at positions 28 to 507 of the family's 1533-position model. The record is from RNAcentral.